Daktulosphaira vitifoliae (grape phylloxera) is the source of this 807-nucleotide long non-coding RNA. RefSeq lists it as uncharacterized. The record is from RefSeq and is a predicted model, not a curated record. The transcript is spliced from 3 exons. Lineage: Eukaryota; Metazoa; Arthropoda; Insecta; Hemiptera; Phylloxeridae.
ACAAAAAAAGUCAAAAAAAAUCGGCGCCCGGAUCUGUUUGAAAUUGGUUCAAAUACUGACUCUCGGAGAUUAUAAAGUAACAAAGUCCAAAGUCCUACCUGGGAGUGGUAAAGAAUUCCCCUGCGAUUGGGAAAAUCAUUUACUAGUAUUUGUCGAGUCAUAAUGAAACAAAUAUUUAUAAAACCGAGAAUAAACAAUAAUUAUUACGGGCAGCCGUCGUCUCGUCGGACCGACGAAAGCGGGCAACAAAAAAGCAAACGGUGUUUCAUGUUGCAACAGCCCGUACCACCUUAAGUGGGACUGCCGAAGUAAAGAAACGUUAAAAAAUAAAAUAACAAUGAAAAAGCGUUUGAAAAUCGCGAGGCGAAAAGUGGCGACAUUGCGACGCCUUCUUAAAGAAGCUAAGGAGGAAUCGGCACCACAGCAGCAGGAGGGACCACCAUCUCCUCCUGACGUAGAAAGCCGGAGCAAGAUAUGAGAUGCAUAGGCGUAACACAAUUAGAGGUAGAACUGUUUUGGUAAUUGUAAUAUACUAAGCGUCGCGCUCCGCCAAACGGUUCGGGAAUCGAGGCGAUCGGAGAAAAAGCUGAAUUUUAAAAGGGAAAAAGGGUAAAAUAUGUUCCAGGUGCAGCUUAUUUAGAGGGGCUUAGGAUUUUAGUAUACAGGGUGGCCCACCACUCACUGACAACUUAAAUAACUUUUGAUCCAGUUAAUAUUUUUAGUUGAUUUUUUUUUUAAAUAAUAGUUAUACGUUAGGUCUAUAGCUAUAUCUCAAUAAUUAAUUUUUUUACAUUUUAUUAAAAAUAU